GUUUAUACAAAAUACAGUCAUGUACUUUAAAAAUGUACAUAACAUCUUUUCAUUCAGUUUACAUUUUAAAAAAGGAACAACGGUAAUUUCAAAGACUUUCUGCUUACAUGUCAUGUAAACAUUGUUCUGGGCCCAUGUUAUUUACUAAAAUUGUAUCCACUCGUGGAGAUUUUCAUGAUCAUAUAGAUGCUUUCAGACUGAGAGUCAGAUCUGCCAAACUGAUUUCUUGAGCUGCGCAUGUGAUCAGAUUGGCUGGAUUCCAGGCCAAAUGAGAUCCUCUAGAGACAUAAGCGCAGUUUCAUAGCAAUAUGAAGUUGUAGAUGUACACAUUUCAUUUUGAUACAUAUCUGUGUGGACCUGUUAAUUGACCCCGGCGUAUCCACAUACUUCUGUUAUGAAGGAUCAUGGGGGAGGAGCAUAUAUGCCCCCAAGGGCAGUGACCUCUACUCAGGAAAGUCACUAAUGCCCCAGUGCAGUGGCUGACAUGUAGAACACCCAUCUUUGGGGCUUGCCGAGUCAGCCACCCUGUGAAGAAGUGCCAGGAUGCACAAGUUCAGUACCUACAGAUUUGAAAAUAUGUUUAGCCUAUGUUUUGACAAAAGGUACUCUUCAGUAGAAUUUGAGGAUCAUGUGGGGAAAAAAAUAUAAAGGAAGGGAAUUAAUCAAAGGAAAAGAAAGCACAUUCUGGUUUCUGCUAAACCCAUGGGUUUCUGAGGAAACUACUUCAGCGUUUUAGUCUAGUUUUGUCCCAACCUAUUGGUUUAACCAAAUGGAUAUUAUGAAAGAAUAUCACAGAGGUGUUGGUCUUGGUGCAGAAACCACCUCUCUUCUCAAAAGAAAAAUCCUCGGGAAGCAAUAUUCAGGAAUACUUGUCUUGAGAUCAAAGCCAAUUUAGACUACAAUCAGAUUUUCACAAAGCAGUUAAGCAUUUAUGGCAUUCAGCUAUAAAUAUACCACCAAAGAUAAUAAAGUAUAAAUGCUUAAAAAAUAUACCCUUAGGAGAGAUGGUAUCUUC
Molecule: long non-coding RNA, 1015 nt
Filed under: Bos taurus (domestic cattle)
Lineage: Eukaryota; Metazoa; Chordata; Mammalia; Artiodactyla; Bovidae
Description: long non-coding RNA NONBTAT022078
Source: RNAcentral